This 504-nucleotide ribosomal RNA is filed under the name uncultured Desulfobulbus sp. RNAcentral's name for it is "bacterial SSU rRNA". It matches the Rfam family "Bacterial small subunit ribosomal RNA", at positions 885 to 1382 of the family's 1533-position model. The record is from RNAcentral. Lineage: Bacteria; Pseudomonadati; Thermodesulfobacteriota; Desulfobulbia; Desulfobulbales; Desulfobulbaceae.
GCCAGCCCGCUCAGAAACUCAAAGGAAUUGACGGGGGCCCGCACAAGCGGUGGAGUAUGUGGUUUAAUUCGAUGCAACGCGAAGAACCUUACCUGGUCUUGACAUCCCGGAGACCCUUAGGAAACUAGGGGUGCUUCCAUCUGGAAGAAUCUGGAGACAGGUGCUGCAUGGCUGUCGUCAGCUCGUGUCGUGAGAUGUUGGGUUAAGUCCCGCAACGAGCGCAACCCUUGCCUUUAGUUGCCAGCAGUUCGGCUGGGCACUCUAAAGGGACUGCCGGUGUUAAACCGGAGGAAGGUGGGGAUGACGUCAAGUCCUCAUGGCCUUUAUGACCAGGGCUACACACGUACUACAAUGGCCGAUACAAAGGGCAGCGACACUGCGAGGUGAAGCCAAUCCCGUAAAAUCGGUCUCAGUCCGGAUUGGAGUCUGCAACUCGACUCCAUGAAGUUGGAAUCGCUAGUAAUCGUGGAUCAGCAUGCCACGGUGAAUACGUUCCCGGGCCUU